This 495-nucleotide ribosomal RNA is filed under the name uncultured bacterium. Its description in RNAcentral is "bacterial SSU rRNA". It matches the Rfam family "Bacterial small subunit ribosomal RNA", at positions 29 to 518 of the family's 1533-position model. The record is from RNAcentral.
AUGAACGCUAGCGACAGGCCUAACACAUGCAAGUCGAGGGGCAGCACAAGGAGCAAUCUGAGGUGGCGACCGGCGCACGGGUGAGUAACACGUAUGCAACCUGCCUGUAAGCGGGGAAUAACCCGUUGAAAGACGGACUAAUACCGCAUAAUACUAAAUUACUGCAUGGUAAUUUAUUUAAACAUUUAUGGCUUACAGAUGGGCAUGCGCAUGAUUAGCUAGUUGAAGAGGUAACGGCUCCCCAAGGCAACGAUCAUUAGGGGUUCUGAGAGGAAGGUCCCCCACACUGGUACUGAGACACGGACCAGACUCCUACGGGAGGCAGCAGUGAGGAAUAUUGGUCAAUGGACGAGAGUCUGAACCAGCCAAGUCGCGUGCAGGAAGAAUGUCCUAUUGGAUUGUAAACUGCUUUUGCAGGGGAAUAAAGUGCAUCACGUGUGAUGUUUUGUAUGUACUCUGCGGAUAAGGAUCGGCUAACUCCGUGCCAGCAGCAGC